RNAcentral lists this ribosomal RNA (648 nucleotides) under Arthrobacter sp. RNAcentral's name for it is "bacterial SSU rRNA". It matches the Rfam family "Bacterial small subunit ribosomal RNA", at positions 385 to 1042 of the family's 1533-position model. Lineage: Bacteria; Bacillati; Actinomycetota; Actinomycetes; Micrococcales; Micrococcaceae. The record is from RNAcentral.
GAUGCAGCGACGCCGCGUGAGGGAUGACGGCCUUCGGGUUGUAAACCUCUUUCAGUAGGGAAGAAGCCGUGAGGUGACGGUACCUGCAGAAGAAGCGCCGGCUAACUACGUGCCAGCAGCCGCGGUAAUACGUAGGGCGCAAGCGUUAUCCGGAAUUAUUGGGCGUAAAGAGCUCGUAGGCGGUUUGUCGCGUCUGCUGUGAAAGACCGGGGCUCAACUCCGGUUCUGCAGUGGGUACGGGCAGACUAGAGUGCAGUAGGGGAGACUGGAAUUCCUGGUGUAGCGGUGAAAUGCGCAGAUAUCAGGAGGAACACCGAUGGCGAAGGCAGGUCUCUGGGCUGUAACUGACGCUGAGGAGCGAAAGCAUGGGGAGCGAACAGGAUUAGAUACCCUGGUAGUCCAUGCCGUAAACGUUGGGCACUAGGUGUGGGGGACAUUCCACGUUUUCCGCGCCGUAGCUAACGCAUUAAGUGCCCCGCCUGGGGAGUACGGCCGCAAGGCUAAAACUCAAAGGAAUUGACGGGGGCCCGCACAAGCGGCGGAGCAUGCGGAUUAAUUCGAUGCAACGCGAAGAACCUUACCAAGGCUUGACAUGAACCGGUAAUGCCUGGAGACAGGUGCCCCGCUUGCGGUCGGUUUACAGGUGGU